UACGUAGGGAGCAAGCGUUGUCCGGAAUCAUUGGGCGUAAAGCGCGCGUAGGUGGCCCUGUAAGUCCGUUGUGAAAGUCAAAGGCUCAACCUUUGAAAGCCGAUGGAUACUGCAGGGCUAGAGUACGGAAGAGGCGAGUGGAAUUCCUGGUGUAGCGGUGGAAUGCGCAGAUAUCAGGAGGAACACCGAUGGCGAAGGCAGCUCGCUGGGACGGUACUGACGCUGAGGCGCGAAAGCGUGGGGAGCAAACAGG
This 253-nucleotide ribosomal RNA is filed under the name uncultured bacterium. RNAcentral describes it as "partial 16S ribosomal RNA". It matches the Rfam family "Bacterial small subunit ribosomal RNA", at positions 524 to 776 of the family's 1533-position model. The record is from RNAcentral.